CCCUUUUUGGUCUGAAAUGGUUCCUCCCUUACCCAUGAUCCUGUUCCUUCACCUGGUUGAGUCAUGUUUGGUUGCAGACGUUGUCAAAUCAAGUCAACACGCAGAAGGUUAGUUCUUCCAAGAAAGCCGGCUAGACGCUGUCGUGGUGCUCCAGAUGAUAUACGGCAUCACGGUGACGGUUACGGCUUUGACCUUGGGGAUCAUCUGUCUUAUCAUCGCCCCUCGGCUUCCGAGACGAUUUGUCCCGAACUACCGAUCGGGACUCAAGUGGAGUUUGACACAAGGGAACAGCUUUUCUAUCGGCCAGGGAGCGGCCGCCCCUAUCUUCGGCAUAGCGCUGGCCUGGCUGAUCAUGAGAGAGGCUCCGGGAUGGCCGAACGUCAUCGGUAUAGUCUUCCAGAUCGCCGGCGUCGUCAUGGUAGUCUUCGGCGGAAAAGCAACCCUCGAUUCAUCCUCUACAGAUUCGUGUGAACCAAACUGCACUACAAUUUCGUUGUUUGAAAAUGGAACCGAUUAUAAUGUUACGGGUCCUACAAACAACACAGCGACGGAUGAAGAAAGUUUCUCAAAACUUAUACCAGACGCAUUCGCUGCGUACGUUGUAGGAAAUCUUCUCGCUAUUCUAGGACCGUCAUUGCUGGCGUUAGUGGAUGUCAUUAACAGAAGAAGUAUGAAAGAUAACGCUAAGUUGACAGUUCUUCUGCUUGUCGAGACUUGGGGGACUGUGUUCAUCUUACCUCUUAUGUUUCUCUUGUCAACGCCCAAGUGGAAUCUUGAGCUA
Molecule: long non-coding RNA, 781 nt
Organism: Branchiostoma floridae (Florida lancelet)
Lineage: Eukaryota; Metazoa; Chordata; Leptocardii; Amphioxiformes; Branchiostomatidae
Exons: 3
Source: RefSeq, a predicted model, not a curated record